UCUUUUUUGUAGCUAAACUAUACUGUAGUCUCUUCAAUAUUUUCAAAAUGUUGGUGUAAGGCAUAAGAUGGUGCAUUGGCAGAAAAGAGAAAAGCCA
This 97-nucleotide non-coding RNA is filed under the name Tryblionella compressa. Lineage: Eukaryota; Bacillariophyta; Bacillariophyceae; Bacillariales; Bacillariaceae. The record is from RNAcentral.